Molecule: long non-coding RNA, 666 nt
Organism: Hippocampus comes (tiger tail seahorse)
Lineage: Eukaryota; Metazoa; Chordata; Actinopteri; Syngnathiformes; Syngnathidae
Exons: 3
Source: RefSeq, a predicted model, not a curated record
AGACAAGACUGGGACAAAUUAAUUGGGGAAUCUGGGACAUAUUUUAUUUGCUUCUAUUAGGCUAUGAAUUCACCAUUUACUAGGCAGGUUUGUUCCAAAAAGAGAGUGAUCGAUCCCCAACCACCGAUACCAGGCCUCGGACCAUUUGGGACCGGGCCGCCGAGACACACCUGUGAGCAGCGAGCAAAUUGACUCCACCAGACGUAGCGGAAAUAUGCCCGACUCGACAACGAAAGAAGAAGCAGUGAACAGAAAUUAAGAGUAACAAAUUGACCCAACGUACAGCUAAACGCGCAGCUGACGGGCAGCCGCGACUUCCAAAGAUGAAGCUUGUAUGACUCGAGAAGUUCCUCCCUCGGCGGUAUCUCCGAAGCGACGUGGAGAAGGAAGGAAGCUGUUAUGCGUGGCAAGAAACCGGUUGAAUCAUUUCAGCAAAGCGCUUCCCUCCCUCUGUGGCCGCACCGUUACCUGAGGUCUCGUCUUGCCACACGCACGCCGGCAACAGACUCCCCAUGUGCACGACAACAGCAACGAGAAAACGAACGAGCACAACAGGAGGAAUGAAAUACACGCAGACAGAGCGAGAAAGAGGAGGGACGAAGGUGAAGAUGGAGACAAUCAGCAGGCAAGCAACCAACAAGAGAAGUAGGAAAACAAAGAAACAGA